This 974-nucleotide ribosomal RNA is filed under the name Paecilomyces sp. 97014. Its description in RNAcentral is "eukaryotic LSU rRNA". It matches the Rfam family "Eukaryotic large subunit ribosomal RNA", at positions 1 to 991 of the family's 3401-position model. Lineage: Eukaryota; Fungi; Ascomycota; Eurotiomycetes; Eurotiales; Thermoascaceae. The record is from RNAcentral.
GUUGACCUCGGAUCAGGUAGGAAUACCCGCUGAACUUAAGCAUAUCAAUAAGCGGAGGAAAAGAAACCAACAGGGAUUGCCCCAGUAACGGCGAGUGAAGCGGCAACAGCUCAAAUUUGAAAUCUGGCCCCCUCCGCGGGGGUCCGAGUUGUAAUUUGCAGAGGAUGCUUCUGGCGCGGCGCCUUCCGAGUUCCCUGGAACGGGACGCCACAGAGGGUGAGAGCCCCGUCCGGUCGGACGCCCAGCCUAUGUGAAGCACCUUCGACGAGUCGGGUAGUUUGGGAAUGCUGCCCUAAAUGGGAGGUAUAUGUCUUCUAAAGCUAAAUACCGGCCAGAGACCGAUAGCGCACAAGUAGAGUGAUCGAAAGAUGAAAAGCACUUUGAAAAGAGGGUUAAACAGUACGUGAAAUUGUUGAAAGGGAAGCGCUCAUGACCAGACUUGGGCCCGGGGGAUCACCCGGCGUUCUUUCGCCGGGGCACUUCGCCGGCUGCCCAGGCCAGCAUCAGUUCGCGGCGGGGGACAAAGGCUUCGGGAACGUGGCUCCCUACGGGGAGUGUUAUAGCCCGCUGCGCAAUGCCCUGCCGCGGACUGAGGUUCGCGCUUCCGCAAGGAUGCUGGCGUAAUGGUCAUCAGCGACCCGUCUUGAAACACGGACCAAGGAGUCGUCUUCGUAUGCGAGUGUUCGGGUGUCAAACCCCUACGCGGAAUGAAAGUGAACGCAGGUGAGAGCUUCGGCGCAUCACCGACCGAUCCUGAUGUUCUCGGAUGGAUUUGAGUAAGAGCAUACGGGGCCGGACCCGAAAGAAGGUGAACUAUGCCUGUAUAGGGUGAAGCCAGAGGAAACUCUGGUGGAGGCUCGCAGCGGUUCUGACGUGCAAAUCGAUCGUCAAAUAUGGGCAUGGGGGCGAAAGACUAAUCGAACCUUCUAGUAGCUGGUUUCCGCCGAAGUUUCCCUCAGGAUAGCAGUGUUGAG